UAAGCGUACACGGUGGAUGCCCUGGCAGUCAGAGGCGAUGAAGGACGUGCUAAUCUGCGAUAAGCGUCGGUAAGGUGAUAUGAACCGUUAUAACCGGCGAUUUCCGAAUGGGGAAACCCAGUGUGAUUCGUCACACUAUCAUUAACUGAAUCCAUAGGUUAAUGAGGCGAACCGGGGGAACUGAAACAUCUAAGUACCCCGAGGAAAAGAAAUCAACCGAGAUUCCCCCAGUAGCGGCGAGCGAACGGGGAGGAGCCCAGAGCCUGAAUCAGUGUGUGUGUUAGUGGAAGCGUCUGGAAAGGCGCGCGAUACAGGGUGACAGCCCCGUACACAAAAAUGCACAUGCUGUGAGCUCGAUGAGUAGGGCGGGACACGUGGUAUCCUGUCUGAAUAUGGGGGGACCAUCCUCCAAGGCUAAAUACUCCUGACUGACCGAUAGUGAACCAGUACCGUGAGGGAAAGGCGAAAAGAACCCCGGCGAGGGGAGUGAAAAAGAACCUGAAACCGUGUACGUACAAGCAGUGGGAGCAC
RNAcentral lists this ribosomal RNA (531 nucleotides) under Escherichia coli. RNAcentral describes it as "partial 23S ribosomal RNA". It matches the Rfam family "Bacterial large subunit ribosomal RNA", at positions 12 to 582 of the family's 2925-position model. Lineage: Bacteria; Pseudomonadati; Pseudomonadota; Gammaproteobacteria; Enterobacterales; Enterobacteriaceae. The record is from RNAcentral.